AUGCUACUUCCUUCGUUCCAAAUUUUUUGUCUUAAAUUUGUCUAAAUACGAUGUAUCUAAUAUUAAAGCGUGAUUUAAUACAUCCGUAUUUAGACAUAUUUAAAACAAGAAUUUUGGGACGGAUGGAGUAUAUG
Triticum aestivum (bread wheat) is the source of this 134-nucleotide non-coding RNA. The record is from Rfam. NCBI's taxonomy places the organism in Eukaryota, Viridiplantae, Streptophyta, Magnoliopsida, Poales, Poaceae.